Molecule: ribosomal RNA, 87 nt
Filed under: Rhytida stephenensis
Lineage: Eukaryota; Metazoa; Mollusca; Gastropoda; Stylommatophora; Rhytididae
Also listed under: 4 other names
Description: partial 5.8S ribosomal RNA
Rfam family: 5.8S ribosomal RNA
About the family: 5.8S ribosomal RNA (5.8S rRNA) is a component of the large subunit of the eukaryotic ribosome. It is transcribed by RNA polymerase I as part of the 45S precursor that also contains 18S and 28S rRNA. Functionally, it is thought that 5.8S rRNA may be involved in ribosome translocation.
Source: RNAcentral
AUUGCAGAACACAUUGAACAUCGACACCUUGAACGCAUAUGGCGGCCUCGGGUCCAUCCCGAGGCCACGCCCGUCUGAGGGUCGGCU